AGAAAAAGUGUGGGAUUUCAAGGGAUUAAGCUAAUAAAGGUGGUGAAUCCUUCGAUAAAGGUAAGGAAAUUGUACUCGAGGAUCGGUAGUCAGAGUACUCUAGAAAUUCGACUCCCCGAAAUAGUUCAGAUUAGGCUGUAGAUAGCUGAGUUCAUCGAGGACUA
Molecule: non-coding RNA, 164 nt
Organism: Theobroma cacao (cacao)
Lineage: Eukaryota; Viridiplantae; Streptophyta; Magnoliopsida; Malvales; Malvaceae
Source: RefSeq, a predicted model, not a curated record